UAAAGUUGACAGAAUAUAUGUGAAUGAAUUAGGAUCAUUUUAUAAGAAUUUUUUUCUUACUUUA
RNAcentral lists this transfer RNA (64 nucleotides) under Luteuthis dentatus. Its description in RNAcentral is "tRNA-Leu". Lineage: Eukaryota; Metazoa; Mollusca; Cephalopoda; Octopoda; Luteuthidae. The record is from RNAcentral.